RNAcentral lists this ribosomal RNA (253 nucleotides) under uncultured bacterium. RNAcentral's name for it is "partial 16S ribosomal RNA". It matches the Rfam family "Bacterial small subunit ribosomal RNA", at positions 524 to 776 of the family's 1533-position model. The record is from RNAcentral.
UACGUAGGGUGCGAGCGUUGUCCUGAAUUAUUGGGCGUAAAGAGCUCGUAGGCGGUUUGUUGCGUCGGCUGUGAAAUCCCGAGGCUCAACCUCGGGUCUGCAGUCGAUACGAGCAAACUAGAGUGUUGCAGGGGAGACUGGAAUUCCUGGUGUAGCGGUGAAAUGCGCAGAUAUCAGGAGGAACACCGGUGGCGAAGGCGGGUCUCUGGGCAACAACUGACGCUGAGGAGCGAAAGCGUGGGGAGCGAACAGG